Molecule: long non-coding RNA, 1553 nt
Organism: Cyprinus carpio (common carp)
Lineage: Eukaryota; Metazoa; Chordata; Actinopteri; Cypriniformes; Cyprinidae
Exons: 3
Source: RefSeq, a predicted model, not a curated record
UACCAUUUAGACAGACUGAGAAAACACAGGUGUGAAGGCUCAUGCUGAAAUUCUGAGGCUGAUGGCGACUCUGCUGGUGCUGCAGCUGAUCCGGGUGAAGAAGUUGGAAGUGGGACGGCUGCUUGAGUCUCUCCUCCGAUUAAAAGAGUCCCAGGAGCCCAGACCGAUGUACUGGGAGGCAGUGAAGAGGGCUGUGGACUGGGCCUGCCGGACAGACAGACAGUAUCCAUGUGUGUGCAGCAGGCUGGAGAUCGGCCGGGAUUGGGAAUCAUCUACACGUCAACUACUGGGCUGUGAUUCUCCACACCCUUAUUCCCCACUCAAACCUGUUCUAGAGAGACGUAUGGAUGUAUUAGUCAUGUAGAAACUGGAGUUGCAGCUUACUUGCUUAAUAUUUGAAAAAUCUCCUCAUGAGUCUUGUAGAGCUUUAAAGUGCCCUCAAAACUGUAUUAAAAUGUCAGAAUUUUAUUGCAUUAGAAAGGAAAUAUUAAAACAAGUGGCCUUUUCUUGAUAGCUUUUUCCCCCAAAACUAGACAUUUUUUCCUUCAAUCACUUGUAAUCAAAUGGCGCUGAUUUUUAGUGAAUGUAUGAACUCAUUUCUUCUCAAGUUCACACAGAUGUCCUAGCAGAGCAACAAACAGCUGUAGUUCAUCACAUUAACUAUGAUUAUGAUACAGUGCAUCGGACCAUGUCCGAAUGAUGACCGAAACUUGAAGCUUUACUGCACAUUCAGCAACAUGGAAAUGUCCUUUUUAACUUCAGAAAUCACCAUAAGAGCUGAAUAAAGUACAAAGAUACGCAUUAAAAGUCCUGUCCGUAAACUCUCUCUCAUCACAUUAUUGGGGGGUAAAUAAAUUAGUAAACCUUAACAUACCUAAACAUAAUUAAACCCACAAAAUAUGAAAAAUAAAUACAAAACAAGUUAGAAAAUGAAUUACAAUAUAGUCUGUUACAUUGCAGCAUGUUGUUUUAGCAUUUAAAGCAUAAAAUUAUAUUGUGAAAUGUUUUCUUGUAAGUGUGUAUGUGCUGUCUUUUUUGAAAUAAAUGAAAUGAAUUAAAAUAAAAGAAAUAUAUUGUUCCAGUAAACAAUAGCAUCUCAAUGACAAACACAGUCACGGACUUUUGUUCUGUUUAAUCAUGCACACACACUGGUGCUUCAAACUAGAUAUGUUGAUACACAUUCUUUGGAAAAACAAAUCUUAUUAUUAGAAGAAUCAAUAUAUCUGUUCUAUGUCCCAUAAAUUAACAGUAACAGCCACAUGUGAAUGCAAUAACAGCUUGUGUCACAAACAUGACGCAUCAUCACAUAUUAACAUAACACUUGUGUUCGUAGUCCAUGUGCACAAUGAGGGAGAGCCUGUUCUUAAAGAGUCUAAGCCCAGCAUGCAUAUGAGACCGCAAUUACAGUCAGCUCAUUGUUUCAGUUAAAGAUUAAGUUAAAAUAAAAUUAAAUAAUUGUUUUUUUGUUUGUUUGUUUGAUUUUUUGUAUUUUCAUUUACUGAUACCUGGAACAACUUGUAAAUGGCAUUAAAAUUUGAUCAGAAUAAACUCAA